GUGUCAGCAGCCGCGGUAAGACAGAGGGUGCAAACGUUGUUCGGAAUUACUGGGCGUAAAGCGCAUGUAGGCGGUUCGUAAAGUCAGAUGUGAAAGCCCUGGGCUUAACCCAGGAAGUGCAUUUGAAACUCACGAACUUGAGUCCCGGAGAGGAAGGCGGAAUUCUCGGUGUAGAGGUGAAAUUCGUAGAUAUCGAGAGGAACAUCGGUGGCGAAGGCGGCCUUCUGGACGGUGACUGACGCUGAGAUGCGAAAGCGUGGGGAGCAAACAGGAUUAGAUACCCUGGUAGUCCACGCCGUAAACGAUGGGUGCUAGGUGUCGCGGGCUUUGACUCCUGCGGUGCCGUAGCUAACGCAUUAAGCACCCCGCCUGGGGAGUACGGCCGCAAGGCUAAA
Molecule: ribosomal RNA, 395 nt
Filed under: uncultured bacterium
Lineage: Bacteria
Description: bacterial SSU rRNA
Rfam family: Bacterial small subunit ribosomal RNA
Source: RNAcentral